Molecule: non-coding RNA, 467 nt
Organism: Paramuricea clavata
Lineage: Eukaryota; Metazoa; Cnidaria; Anthozoa; Malacalcyonacea; Plexauridae
Source: the annotation of a GenBank genome assembly
CUAGGCGAGUUUGUUAGGCAUGCGAGCGGCGAGAAAAUGCCGAAAAGAUGCGUUGUUGCCGGUUGUAACAACAUAGGAGAUAAGGAAAGAGAAAUAUCGUUGCAUGCAAUUUCUUAUUCGGGGGACGAACGGCCCGAAGCGAAAAAAAACGAAAGAAAUGGACUGACUUCGUACUAAGCCUCAAACGUGCAAAAUGGACGCCGACGUCGUAUUCAGUCAUAUGCUAUGAGCAUUUCAAGCCCGAGGAUUUUUUGCGACGGUUUGCCCAUGUCGAAGGUGAAAGCUUCGUUGGCAACAGAUGGCUCAAAAGGGACGAGAUCCGAAUUUGUGUAUUCCCAACAAUCAUGCCAUCAGCUGACGCACAGAAAGUUUCAGACAGAUACAAGAGAAUGGUAUGCUAAUUUUGUAUUUUAUACAUAAUUGUGCGUAACUUGAAUUUGUUUGACUAAACUGAUUUAAUUAAUAAA